GAUGAACGCUGGCGGCGUGCCUAAUACAUGCAAGUCGAGCGAACGGACGAGAAGCUUGCUUCUCUGAUGUUAGCGGCGGACGGGUGAGUAACACGUGGAUAACCUACCUAUAGGACUGGGAUAACUUCGGGAAACCGGAGCUAAUACCGGAUAAUAUUUUGAACCGCAUGGUUCAAAAGUGAAAGACGGUCUUGCUGUCACUUAUAGAUGGAUCCGCGCUGCAUUAGCUAGUUGGUAAGGUAACGGCUUACCAAGGCAACGAUGCAUAGCCGACCUGAGAGGGUGAUCGGCCACACUGGAACUGAGACACGGUCCAGACUCCUACGGGAGGCAGCAGUAGGGAAUCUUCCGCAAAGGGCGAAAGCCUGACGGAGCAACGCCGCGUGAGUGAUGAAGGUCUUCGGAUCGUAAAACUCUGUUAUUAGGGAAGAACAUAUGUGUAAGUAACUGUGCACAUCUUGACGGUACCUAAUCAGAAAGCCACGGCUAACUACGUG
RNAcentral lists this ribosomal RNA (497 nucleotides) under uncultured bacterium. Its description in RNAcentral is "partial 16S ribosomal RNA". It matches the Rfam family "Bacterial small subunit ribosomal RNA", at positions 28 to 507 of the family's 1533-position model. The record is from RNAcentral.